Molecule: ribosomal RNA, 497 nt
Filed under: uncultured bacterium
Lineage: Bacteria
Description: partial 16S ribosomal RNA
Rfam family: Bacterial small subunit ribosomal RNA
Source: RNAcentral
GAUGAACGCUGGCGGCGUGCCUAAUACAUGCAAGUCGAGCGAACAGACGAGGAGCUUGCUCCUCUGACGUUAGCGGCGGACGGGUGAGUAACACGUGGAUAACCUACCUAUAAGACUGGGAUAACUUCGGGAAACCGGAGCUAAUGCCGGAUAAUAUAUUGAACCGCAUGGUUCAAUAGUGAAAGACGGUUUUGCUGUCACUUAUAGAUGGAUCCGCGCCGCAUUAGCUAGUUGGUAAGGUAACGGCUUACCAAGGCAACGAUGCGUAGCCGACCUGAGAGGGUGAUCGGCCACACUGGAACUGAGACACGGUCCAGACUCCUACGGGAGGCAGCAGUAGGGAAUCUUCCGCAAUGGGCGAAAGCCUGACGGAGCAACGCCGCGUGAGUGAUGAAGGUCUUCGGAUCGUAAAACUCUGUUAUUAGAGAAGAACAAAUGUGUAAGUAACUAUGCACGUCUUGACGGUACCUAAUCAGAAAGCCACGGCUAACUACGUG